AUUAUAAAUUAUACCUGCAUCAUGUUGGGUUUGUUUGUGCAUUUAUUUUGAAUUUUAAAACUAAGAACUGAUUUGAAUUUGGAAUUGAAAUAAAAAAACAGAAUAAAAAGCAAAAGAAAUAGAUUGCUUACCUGAGAAAUGGGCCGAAUUUCCCCUCCCUUAGCCCAGUCCGGUGCCCUCUCAGACUACCACGCGCUUGCUGGCGAGUCUCUGACAUCGUGGGCCAACCCGUCAGCGUUGUCUUCCCCGAGUAGGACUCCAACAGACCACGUGAUUCCAGGCAACAAAAACAUACCCGAUGCCGCUGCUAUCCCAUAAUAUUCGGGGGGUGCACCGGCCAAACCCACAACGGAAUCCUAGGAGUCUGCCGCUCCCAUGACCCUGCCCAGGUACAUAUAAGAUGGCCCCUGCGCCCUCCCAUAAGCCAUCGGCGAGUAGAAGCACCAGUGAGCGUCGAUUGCUCGGAUUUAGGUGGGGGAUCAGGGGUGUUCAUCGGAGUACAUUGUACUUGGGGCUAGUUUUUUUCAAGCGUCUGGAACAAGCAGUGAAGGCCCGAUGUUUGGUUUGGGAAGGCCCCCUUCCGUGACAAUGGAAUUAGUGCAUGCUACUAGCGUUCGUCUGGAGUCCCAUAUACAAUGGUGGGUUCUGGAAACUGAGGUAAAUCUUUGACUGACCUAGUUUCUAAUUCCAAAUUUUGUGCUCCCACCGCUUCUUGAUCCGUCGGGUGCCAAGGGCCUCUGUUGCGGCAAGUCGGCUGCAGUCCGGGAGCCGGCGGUAGCAGAGGUGAACAACAAAGCUGGGCGUUGGCCUGCCAGCGUCGCCGGUGAGGGUGUCUCAGACGCCCAAGCAGCCCAUGUUGCCCUUCUACUUACCGAGCCGCCCUCACCCUCCAGCUACAAGAGCUCGCCGCCGUACAAACUAAAGGCCGCCGCCGCUCUGUAAUUUAUGGGGAAGAAACGACUCCGUCCAUUGAUCUGGGAGGGACGAUGGGGAUUAGAUCCUAACGUUUUAAAAUCAUGAGCGUCCGAUUCUAAUCGAACGGUUGGGGGAAGUAGCUGAUACCCCUUCGCGGCUCAUGAUCUGGGUCAUCGGAUCUUGAUCCGGUGGUCUAUAUUUCAUACCAGUUCAUAAAGGUUAAAAUCUAAUCGCGACCAUUGGCUUUUGAUCGGACGACCGAGGAUCGCGGAUACCCCUUCAGCCGAGCCAGAUUUACAAAUGAGCCCCCGCAGAAUCUCAUAAUUAACCCUUCAUCCUCGCGGGAGUAGUCUGAGUCUGGUAGAGUUUUAUAAAUUUAACCCUAGGCUCUCUGAUAUUAGUGUCCUCGGUCCAGAACACUUAGGAUAUUCAGAAAUUAAUAAAGAAAUAGGUUUUUAGUAUAAAAAUAAAUCCAUAAACUUGUUUAAUUCAUAUUUAAUUCAUUCUAACUCCGAAUUAACCUAUUCCAGUUUCUAUAAUUUUGUAAUAUAAUUGUUUAUCAUUUUGUGUCACUGUUUUGACAUGAAAGCCAUAUUAAAAUUGAUAUCCUAAUUAAUCUUGUACAAAGCACAUAGAAUCUUUAGAAAUCCAUAACUUAAAAUCUAUAACUCCAAAAUUAAUAAUUCAUGUUCAUGUUAUCUUAUUUCAAUAUGUAGAUUAUUAAUAUGUAUUUUGCAUAUAUGUUUGGUGUAAUGUUAAUUUUUCCUAUACAUUGUUUGUCUAUAUUGCUACGUUUAGCAGUGAGGACACGUGUCAUCUGAAAAGCAAGUUGGUACCUGAAAUCUCAAGUCCCAGGCAAGUUGUGCCCUUGACCACUUCUUUUUACCCACUCAUGUUCUAAUUAAUCAUAAUGAUCUGCAUAGGUUAAUUUUGAUGGGACCCAAUAGGUUACCCCAGUUUGACUAUCUUUAUGCCUUGUUUACCACUGAACUUUUGGGUAGUACUUGCUAGUGCUUUAUGUGGAUUUGGGCAUUGAGAUAUUCAUGAUUAUACUUUUAUUAUCAGUUGUUAUUUACUAUUCAUGAUAAGAUCAUUAUGUUAAUUGGAACAUGGAGAACCACCCGGGAAAACAGUGCUACCACAAGGGUUUAAUGGGACGCCCUUGGCUGAUUAAUUAGGAAAGCUAGUGGAUGACUACCUUACCCGAAAGGGGCAAGGGCAGUAGGGGAGUGGUCAGUGUAGGGAGGCCCUUGGGAUGAUUUUGCUGCGAUGGCGGUCAUGCGAGGGAUUCCUGCAUUGGAGCUUCCUAUAAACUGUAGCGGGUUUUCUGAAGCUAGUGGAACUUUGUAAAGGCCUCGUAGUGUUACCCUGCCUCGCCUCCUCGGUAGAGGUGUAUGGGAUUGGCCGUCUCUUGGCAGAUGGGUAACAUGACUUGUGGGUAAAGAUGCGCAACCUCUGCAGAGUGUAAAACUGGUAUACUAGCCGUGCUCACGGUCAAGAGCAGCUCGGACACUCACAUGAUUAAUCUAUGGAACUAAAUUCAAUUUGUCAUAUGCAUUGCAUCGCAGGUGAUGUUGUUAUUUUUGUUCUACUACUUAAUUGGGUUUGAUAUUUACUUAUACUUAGUAAUUGCUAAUAAAAUUUUGACCAACUUUAAAAGCAAUGCUCAGCUCUAACCAUCCUCUUUGGUAAGCCUUACACUUCACGUGAGCUCCCACCUUUGGCGAGUUCAUGCACAUUAUUCCCCACAACUUGUUGAGCGAUGAACGUAUGUGAGCUCACUCUUGCUGUCUCACACCCCCCCACAGGUCAAGAACAGGUACCGCAGGAUGAGGCGCAUGAAGGAUGCGGCUAUGUGUUCGUGAGAGGUCUAGGUCGCCGUCUCCCAGUCAACUUUGGGUUGCUGGACCGUUGUCUCCUUAUAAUGUAAUUAUUUAUUUUGUGCAAAAUUCCUGUUAUGUAGUAAAGAUGUGACAUUCGAUCCUGUGCCAUGAUUCAUCAUAUGUGUGAGACUUGGUCCCAGCACACCUGGUGAUUAUGUUCGCGCCCGGGUCUUGGUGCCCCGAAACCCGGGUGUGACAGAAGUGGUAUCAGAGGAAUGUUGACUGUAGGACGAAACCUAGAUAGAACUGGACAACCCUUACCUACUUACCUAUGCUACUCUGAUUCUUUUCUAAACUUAUCUUAAUAUUUUCUCAUCUAUUUCUGACUUACUCUGAUAAUUCCUACCUUUUCACUCUAAAGACCAAUGUGGAUUUCACAUUUUGAAAUCUUGUGCCUAAAGUGACCUUUAGGAAUAGGAGACCUACUCUUAGGAACAAAAUCAAAACUACUUUUAUUGUGAUUAUUCUGUAUGCUUAAAUGUUUGUUCUUGUGAUACAUGUCUAAUUUGGAUCUUUGAUUGAGUGCGAUGAGUUGUGGAGUAAUGUCCACAAUUAACAUGUGCAUAUACAUAUAGGCAUAAAUAUAAAUAAAUGAAAUUCAUAAGAUAACUAAACAACCUAGAUUAUCCAUUGGAAUAUAUCUAGCUUAAUAGAUCCAUCUUAUCUUAAAAGACUCUCUCUUAUUCCAAUAGAUUCAUCUUAUCAUGAAAGAUUUGUUUUAUCUUAACCACUAUAUUUAUCUCAUCCUAAAGUAACAACCAUGACCUAAUCCAAAAUAAUGAGAUCUUAACUAGUUUAAUCAAGUUGUACCAACCUAAUCUAGAUUCUAUCUAAUCUAUUAUGAUCUAAUCUAGAGUAAGUUACUUAAUAUUGGUACAAAGGAUAAAGCCAUACUCCAAAUCCACUUAAGCUUAAACUGGUGACCUAGAUCAACUCGGCCAUACCCAACAACUUGACCUACAUAACAGAUCUAUCUUAGCCUCUUGUCCCAAACCCGGAUGGAGACACCAGAGAGCAAGACUGGAAAAGGACAAGAUCAACCUUGUCAAGGAAGGAGAGAAGUCAAACUCGAUCUUCAGAUGCAUUACCACCCAACAAGGAGUCCUUUCUCACCGUAAACUUUCUUACUUAGGCUAUUCUUGCCCUAACCUAUCCAUCUCUUAUAUCAUGCAUAAUAAGUAGCUGGAUACCUAUGCUCUCUCAAUCACUCACCCACCAUUGACUACAUAAAAAAAACAAGACCCUGGAUUUUUAAACCAAUUAUAGACUAAAAGCCGAAUUACAGAAAUGCUUCUGUAUCCCUUUCUUGCAAAUCUCGAGGACGAGAUUUCUGUUAAGGGGGGUAGGAUUUGUAACGACCAAAAUCCUAUUCUAAGAUUUACAAAUAUUUUUUAUAAGGUUUAGGGUUAAAAGGUAUUUUAAUAUAAGAAUCCUCAUUUUUAAAUGUUAUUCUAAAAAAACUAAAAGCUUGGAACCAUAAACACAAGAAUGUUAUUUAUUUAUUAUUCUCUUUAUGAACUACAUAUACAAAUGCACUCCUUCAAAAAAUAAUAACUUAUGGGAAAAAUAUUGUGUGGGUUGCAUAAUUGGAUCAUUUUUUUAUUUUUUUAUUUGCAUGAAUAAAUGAAUAAAUUAAUUAUUAUAAAUUAUACCUGCAUCAUGUUGGGUUUGUUUGUGCAUUUAUUUUGAAUUUUAAAACUAAGAACUGAUUUGAAUUUGGAAUUGAAAUAAAAAAAACAGAAUAAAAAGCAAAAGAAAUAGAUUGCUUACCUGAGAAAUGGGCCGAAUUUCCCCUCCCUUAGCCCAGUCUGGUGCCCUCUCAGACUACCACGCGCUUGCUGGCGAGUCUCUGACAUCGUGGGCCAACCCGUCAGCGUUGUCUUCCCCGAGUAGGACUCCAACAGACCGCGUGAUUCCAGGCAACAAAAACAUACCCGACGCCGCUGCUAUCCCAUAAUAUUCGGGGGGGUGCACCGGCCAAACCCACAACGGAAUCCUAGGAGUCUGCCGCUCCCAUGACCCUGCCCAGGUACAUAUAAGAUGGCCCCUGCGCCCUCCCAUAAGCCAUCGGCGAGUAGAAGCACCAGUGAGCGUCGAUUGCUCGGAUUUAGGUGGGGGAUCAGGGGUGUUCAUCGGAGUACAUUGUACUUGGGGCUAGUUUUUUUCAAGCGUCUGGAACAAGCAGUGAAGGCCCGAUGUUUGGUUUGGGAAGGCCCCCUUCCGUGACAAUGGAAUUAGUGCAUGCUACUAGCGUUCGUCUGGAGUCCCUUAUACAAUGGUGGGUUCUGGAAACUGAGGUAAAUCUUUGACUGGCCUAGUUUCUGAUUCCAAAUUUUGUGCUCCCACCGCUUCUUGAUCCGUCGGGUGCCAAGGGCCUCUGUUGCGGCAAGUCGGCUGCAGUCCGGGAGCCGGCGGUAGCAGAGGUGAACAACAAAGCUGGGCGUUGGCCUGCCAGCGUCGCCGGUGAGGGUGUCUCAGACGCCCAAGCAGCCCAUGUUGCCCUUCUACUUACCGAGCCGCCCUCACCCUCCAGCUACAAGGGCUCGCCGCCGUACAAACUAAAGGCCGCCGCCGCUCUGUAAUUUAUGGGGAAGAAACGACUCCGUCCAUUGAUCUGGGAGGGACGAUGGGGAUUAGAUCCUAACGUUUUAAAAUCAUGAGCGUCCGAUUCUAAUCGAACGGUUGGGGGAAGUAGCUGAUACCCCUUCGCGGCUCAUGAUCUGGGUCAUCGGAUCUUGAUCCGGUGGUCUAUAUUUCAUACCGGUUCAUAAAGGUUAAAAUCUAAUCGCGACCAUUGGCUUUUGAUCGGGCGACCGAGGAUCGCGGAUACCCCUUCAGCCGAGCCAGAUUUACAAAUGAGCCCCCGCAGAAUCUCAUAAUUAACCCUCCAUCCUCGCGGGAGUAGUCUGAGUCUGGUAGAGUUUUAUAAAUUUAACCCUAGGCUCUCUGAUAUUAGUGUCCUCGGUCCAGAACACUUAGGAUAUUCAGAAAUUAAUAAAGAAAUAGGUUUUUAGUAUAAAAAUAAAUCCAUAAACUUGUUUAAUUCAUAUUUAAUUCAUUCUAACUCCGAAUUAACCCAUUCCAGUUUCUAUAAUUUUGUAAUAUAAUUGUUUAUCAUUUUGUGUCACUGUUUUGACAUGAAAGCCAUAUUAAAAUUGAUAUCCUAAUUAAUCUUGUACAAAGCACAUAGAAUCUUUAGAAAUCCAUAACUUAAAAUCUAUAACUCCAAAAUUAAUAAUUCAUGUUCCUGUUAUCUUAUUUCAAUAUGUAGAUUAUUAAUAUGUAUUUUGCAUAUAUGUUUGGUGUAAUGUUAAUUUUGCCUAUACACUAUUUGUCUAUAUUGCUACGUUUAGCAGUGAGGACACGUGUCAUCUGAAAAGCAAGUUGGUACCUGGAAUCUCAAGUCCCAGGCAAGUUGUGCCCUUGACCACUUCUUUUUACCCACUCAUGUUCUAAUUAAUCAUAAUGAUCUGCAUAGGUUAAUUUUGAUGGGACCCAAUAGGUUACCCCAGUUUGACUAUCUUUAUGCCUUGUUUACCACUGAACUUUUGGGUAGUACUUGCUAGUGCUUUAUGUGGAUUUGGGCAUUGAGAUAUUCAUGAUUAUACUUUUAUUAUCAGUUGUUAUUUACUAUUCAUGAUAAGAUCAUUAUGUUAAUUGGAACAUGGAGAACCACCCGGGAAAACAGUGCUACCACAAGGGUUUAAUGGGACGCCCUUGGCUGAUUAAUUAGGAAAGCUAGUGGAUGACUACCUUACCCGAAAGGGGCAAGGGCAGUAGAGGAGUGGUCAGUGUAGGGAGGCCCUUGGGAUGAUUUUGCUGUGAUGGCGGUCAUGCGAGGGAUUCUUGCAUUGGAGCUUCCUAUAAACUGUAGUGGGUUUUCUGAAGCUAGUGGAACUUUGUAAAGGCCUCGUAGUGUUACCCUGCCUCGCCUCCUCGGUAGAGGUGUAUGGGAUUGUCCGUCUCUUGGCAGAUGGGUAACAUGACUUGUGGGUAAAGAUGUGCAACCUCUACAGAGUGUAAAACUGGUAUACUAGCCGUGCUCACGGUCAAGAGCAGCUCGGACACUCACAUGAUUAAUCUAUGGAACUAAAUUCAAUUUGUCAUAUGCAUUGCAUCGCAGGUGAUGUUGUUAUUUUUGUUCUACUACUUAAUUGGGUUUGAUAUUUACUUAUACUUAGUAAUUGCUAAUAAAAUUUUGACCAACUUUAAAAGCAAUGCUCAGCUCUAACCAUCCUCUUUGGUAAGCCUUACACUUCACGUGAGCUCCCACCUUUGGCGAGUUCAUGCACAUUAUUCCCCACAACUUGUUGAGCGAUGAAUGUAUGUGAGCUCACUCUUGCUGUCUCACACCCCCCCCACAGGUCAAGAACAGGUACCGCAGGAUGAGGCGCUUGAAGGAUGUGGCUAUGUGUUCGUGAGAGGUCUAGGUCGCCGUCUCCCAGUCAACUUUGGGUUGCUGGACCGUUGUCUCCUUAUAAUGUAAUUAUUUAUUUUGUGCAAAGUUCCUGUUAUGUAGUAAAGAUGUGACAUUCGAUCCUGUGCCAUGAUUCAUCAUAUGUGUGAGACUUGGUCCCAGCACACCUAGUGAUUAUGUUCGCCCCCGGGUCUUGGUGCCCCGAAACCCGGGUGUGAUAGUAUGUUGUCCUAGGAAGCCUCAAAAGGGUAUGUUGUCCUAGGAAGCAUCAAUAGGGUAUGUUAUCUUAGGGUAUUUACAUUUUUAGGACUCGAGAAGACAGUCCUAGGGUAUGUUGUCCUAGGAAGCCUCAAAAGGGUAAGACUUACAAAGAUGGUAGUUUAGGCUAUUGCUAUGGAGUUAUUCUUAAAAAUGUAAAUAGCUAGGCUAGUUUAAAUAUGCUUCAUGCAAAUAAGCGUGCAAGCCUCAUCCUGAGCAGCUUCAACUAUGUUCUUAGGAUGGCAAGCUAGUACAGGCCUUACUAAGAGGCCUUCACAACUAGCAUGCAAGAUGAUGAAUACCUAACACACAUGCUAUUAAGGGUAUAAUGAGUGUAUUGUUGUAUUCCCCUCUAUAAGGAAAAUGGACCGCGACCCAUUUGCUUAAGUGAUUUUGGUGUUUGAUGAGUGAUGACCAACAUGACUUGUGGACUAAUGUGUUUGUUAGUGUUUAUGUUUAUAGUUCAUAGGAUGAAACAUGGACUUAAGGAAUUGAGGGAGCAACACCUCAAGGAAGACAUUAGCAGACUCAUUGAAGACUUACCAACAUCAAGCAAAGUCCAAGACACAAGACAAGAAAAGCCCAAGUGAAAACAACUUGAAGAAUAGAAGAUUGGGUUGUUUAUGAGUGCACCAGACCGUCUAGAGGUUCACCAGAAUGAGACACUAAACCAAACACUCAUAGAGCAUGUAAACAACACCCAAGCCUUCUCACACACUGUUGGUACACCGGACCUUAUAGGCUCAAUGAUUGGCAAUAGCUAGUUGCAACGGACAACUGACAUGGCAGGCACUAGACUGUCUGAUGUGCGCUAUUGGCACAUUAGACCUCUAGUGUACAGAUGAAAAGUUGUCAUAUUUCCAAUGGUUAGCUAAAGUGGAAGGGCACCAGACGGGUUUGUUGUGACUCAUAAAAGUUUGCUUCCUUCCAAUGACUCUUUUGGGCUUGGGACUCAAUAUAAAUCCACUCAACCGAGCAUUCCAAGAUCCAAAGAGCUCAAGACUUUAGUGUAUGUGUUGAGACCUACAUUUCUAAUAGCUCCAAACACCCAAGUGCUUAAAGAAUCACUCGGUGGUUAGCGUAGGUGCUUUGAAAAGUGCUUAGGAUAUUUAUACAGUUUCAUUGUGCUUGCUCUAGGUUAUGCUUAGUUGAUUAGAGUGAGGUUAGACACCCUCAAGACACUUGGCUCUUGCGUGAGUCAUUGUAAUUGUAUCGAGUGGGGUGAGAGUCUUGUGAGAUCACACCAACUGCGUUUGUGGUCUGGCCGCCACCGUGUACCAGAGGGAACGAGUCCCAUGGCGUUUCGGCUAGAAGCUCGAUAGUGAAGACAACGGGGAGCAUCCAAGAGAGGUCUGAAGUGGAGCACCACUUGUACGUGGAGAAGGCCUGGGCUAUCUAUGAGUUACAUGUCUGAGAUGCUUGGCACCAACAAGGAUUAGUAAGAACCAUGCACGGUUCUUAAUACCUUUGUAAAAAUAUCAACGCGUCAAUGGGAGUUUGCAUCUCUACCUUACUUAACCUUCCAUAUUUAUAUUCCUUCCUUAAGUUGUGUGCUUUACCAUUCUUAUCUUAGUUACAUGCUAGUUGGUAGGACAAAAAGGUAGGUUGGAUAACUAAGAGCACCUAGAGGGGGUAAAUAGGUGAUCCUGCAAAAAUCAACUCUAAACAAGACAUAAUUGGUUUAUGAUAGGUGUUAGUUAAAACAAAAAUCAAGUUAUUAUGAGUAGAGGUGGAGAGGAGAAGAGAACUCUUCACUUGAUUGUUCCUUGGAUAUUUGUAUUAAACUUAGGAAGAACAAUACAAGUGAAAAUAUGAGAACUCUGGGAAAACAACAAUCGCAAUAAAAGAAAUGCAUCAAUGCCUACUCCACGUUGUGGUGACCUCCUUCGGUCAAGGGUUGCAUUCAACCCCUCUUAAGUGAUCCAGAGAUCAAACUUGAGUACCACGUUGUUCUUCCUUAUAUCAAGUUUUCCUUUUGUGAGGAAUCUCCACAAGUUGGAGUCUCUCACGCCUUAUACAAAUGAUCUCGAUCAAAGCACAAGAGUAAGGGGGAGUAGCAACACACAAAAGAACUCAAAUCGCAGCAACACCCGCACACGAGUCAAGAAGAGAGCACAAAAAAUACCACAGUGGAGUUACAGCUCACGACGUGCUCAAAUAUCUUUUUAGCAAAGCAGUAGCGUGGUCGCGAGGUCUCAGUGUUGUAGGAUAUUCAAAAAUGCUUGUGUCACAACUCCAUGCGCCUAGGGGGUCCUUUUAUAACCCAAAGGGACCUAGGAGCCGCUGGAGCUCCAUUUAGAAGGCCCUAGUUGCCUUCUGUCCGUGGGUGCACCGCACUGUCCGGUGCACACCAGACACUGCACAGUGCAAUGACUACGAAUCUCCUGAUUGGCUGAUUUCCUCUUCUGGGGGCACCGAACUGUCCGAUGGGUGGCAUCGGACUGUCCGGUACACCAGUCAACCGUUCGCUUCGACCGACGCGUCAAUUAGCCAUUUGAUGGUUGGCACACUGGACUGUCCGGUGCUCCGCGCGGACUGUCCAGUGAUUUAUUGUAACGCCCUAAAAAUUAAACCAUAUUUAUAAUCCAAAUAUGGUGUGUCCUAUGGAUGAUCGGAGGCCGUAGAUGUAUAGAUCUCAUCAAGAUGAUUCCGAUCAAUCACUAGCUUGCCUUGUUUGGAGUCAAGAUGAGUUUUAGGCCCUGCAAUUAGCCUUUCUUGGUUGGAUUAGAUAGGGGAUUAGAUUUUGAUCUCGAAAUUAGUCCCUGCAGUGUGGCAGAUUCGACAGUUUCUAUUCAGGCAAGUUUUUUCGUAAUCUUAGGGGCCUCAAAAAAAUAAAAAGUCUAUCUAUGAGUCGUAGAUAAUUUGUAGAUCUUUCAUUGGCCGCAAAGAACACCUCAAUCAGACAUCAGAUCAGAGAGUUAUUGCAGUUUGAUUAUAGCGGUUUUUCAGUGUCAUAAUUUUGUGCAGAAUCUGUUCUCUUAAGAUUUAGGCACAUUUAUCAAUAGAAUUAAACUUUUGGUUUGUAAGAUAAGGUGUAGAUAAUUUCAUAAGCUUUCCAGAUUAAUAAAGAGUGUAUUAAUAUGAAUUUUGAAACUCCAGUUAUGUUUAUUUUACUGUGGCUGUUCCUGUUUGCCUGACAAAAAUGAGCGGGUCUGUUCAUUGGUGGGUUUCAUCUAGUAAAUGGCUGAUUUGGCUCUUCCAACUAUGGAGAAUUUUGUAGAGGGAUAAAAGAUCUUACUGCCAGCAGAAUUGCAUAAUUUUUGGUUGAGUAGUUUGGGAGAUAUAGAAUUUUGAAGUUAACUAUGCUGCUCUCUGAAACAGAUUCAGUCAAUUAUCUUGUCAGAUGUUUUAGAACUUAUAGAUUGCAAAAUUUAAUUAUCCAUUGAAUACCGAAGUUAUAGAUUAUUUUGUUUAGAUACUCCUAGAAUAUUUGUUUGAUAUCACCACUGUUUUAAUUUUAAAGAUACAAACUUAACAAACAGCGUUGCUGCUGUUUGGCAUGUGAUUCAGGGUGGGAGUCUUUCCACCGGGUCUUGGUUUCAAGUGUAGGAGCGAUUUGUUGAUUGUUGGCAAAUGUUUGUGAAAUAUUUGUACUAAGUUUUAUGCCCGCUAUCAGGUGGCUACACUCCGGAUCAUGCCUAGUACAUUCUUCUUCUUCGAUGAAGGCAAGUGAAUGUAGCGGUGGUUGCUACCAUUUUGACUUGUUGUUUUUUUAUCGCCUACACUCUAAUAUUCAGAAUUAUGGAAUUCUUUCAUAAUUGAACUCUAUGGUGAUGCUUUACUUUCUUGUAUUAUACUGAUGCUCAAUCAUAUUUUUAUGAUGAUUAUGAUUCGAGUAUGACCCAUGAGAUUAAUUCACACCCCUGAAGGUAAAUGAAGUAUUAUUUGAGGUUUGUAUUGUAUCUGAAGGUAAACGAAGUAUUAUUUGAGGUUUGUAUUGUGUCUGAAGGUAAACAAAGUAUUGUUUGAGGUUUGUAUUGUAUGUGAAGGAAGUGAAGUAUAUUGAUAAAUGCAGCAUGCCAUAUAUAUUGCAUGAUUCACUUGCAUCUAAAGUUUUUUCGUGACCGAUGGUCCGACCGUACCGGUACAACUUAGCAUCGUACAUUGCCCGAGGAGGGGUACGAUGCGGCUUCAUACCCUUAGAGGUAUGAAGGCAGAGGACAUAUGCAUUGCAUUCAUAUGCAUUCAUGGAAGUGAUAUUUGCAGAUGAUGUGGUUUUAUACUCUCAGAGGUAUGAUGGCAGAGGACCUACACAUUGCAUUCCUAUGCAUACAUUGAAGUGAUAUUUGCAGGUAUUGUUGACGCAGGGAAGUGUUAUACAACCUAUUGUGGUUGUUCGAGGAAAUGAGAUGGUAUUGGUUAUAUUGGGACUGUUGAGUUCUAUAUCUACACGUAUCUAUGAUCUUAAUUGUGAUUCCUUUAAAAUGUUGAUUAAUUCAAUUUGUGAUUUAAAUAUCUCGUCAAAACAAUUUGCUUGCUGAGAUGUUUCAUCUCACUCUUGCAUUACUCGAUGCAGGUGCUUGAUGAUCAUCAAGGGGAGUGGGAAGUAGCGGCACGUUGCACACACUGUUUAAAGAACCAAAUAAUUAGCUUUGGUUAUUGACUUUCGAGGUUCAUAUUUUGAAAUAUGAUGUAGGCAUAAGCUGGUUCAUUCGUGGUUAAUCGUCUUUGAUGAGAAUUAUAUCAUAUUAGUAUGAUUCAUUUUGUAUUGAUAUAUCUCUUUUGCUUCUGCGAUGCUUAUAAUUAUAAAGGAGAC
This 12229-nucleotide long non-coding RNA is filed under the name Zea mays. RNAcentral describes it as "long non-coding RNA (ZMAY_LNC000856)". The record is from RNAcentral. Lineage: Eukaryota; Viridiplantae; Streptophyta; Magnoliopsida; Poales; Poaceae.